Molecule: unclassified non-coding RNA, 850 nt
Filed under: soil metagenome
Description: partial internal transcribed spacer 1
Source: RNAcentral
CAGAUUUGAAUGAUAUUAGGAGCACAGCUUGGCUCUGGCCGAGUGACAGUUGCGUGGGGCUUCUUUGUUUGAAUGCAAGCAUUGAAGAACAUAGGCAGUUGCGCGAGCGAUCGGGGUGCAAGCACUCCCCGGACGUCUCCGCAGCUGGUACAGCGGUCAAAAUCCAUGAAGACGGAGCAUAGAUAGCUAACCCCUCUCGUCGUGUCGGAAAACAAAACAUCCUGCGCGGCUCUAGAUAGCCCGGGAGUCCUCGGCCUUACGGAGGGACGCUUUGCUCUCGAGAGGUCAGCUGCGUACCUGGGGUUAAACGCCCAAGCCUUUAUGCCAGCGCACGCGGAGCGUGGGGGGUCAAACCCCCGAAAAGAACCCCAACUGGGGCACGGAGAGAACCAGGCAAAGAAGUGCACGACACGUGGGUAGAAAAGGCGCCGUCGCUCUGCGGCUCGCCUUCCACGGGGCUCCUUGCGAUCACCUUCCAUACAGGCGUAACCUGCCGGCGGAGUUGGUUUGGAUCUUCGGAUCAGGUGAGCGCUUGUUGAAUAGACCUAGUCGAGAAGCUUUGUACUGCCAGUCCCCGUGCCUGAGAGGGACGCUCGCCAAAUUGAUUGCCGUGCGCAGGCGAUCACAUAUCCCCCCCUUCACCGUCCAAGAACUUGCUGUUCGUAACACUCCGAGCCUGGCCUGUCGAGCGGGUAACCGUGCGGCGGAUCGGGCCUCGGGAUCCUAUAACCAACUCCCGGACCCUUGACUAUGAGUACUCACGUUUCCUCGGCGGGUCCGCCCGCCAACGGGGACAACACAAACUCUUUUUGCAGUGGCAGUGUCUGUCUGAAACAAACAAAUUUUAUUA